This 533-nucleotide long non-coding RNA is filed under the name Bos taurus (domestic cattle). RNAcentral's name for it is "long non-coding RNA NONBTAT019110". The record is from RNAcentral. Lineage: Eukaryota; Metazoa; Chordata; Mammalia; Artiodactyla; Bovidae.
AAAAUUAUAAAAUGUCUUUAUUUCAAUGACAUAGUAACACUUCCGUUUGCCUCAAGUUUUGUUGAGGUUUUUGGUCUUUUUUGCACUCAAUUAUACCUUGUAACAAUAAUACGAAGUCAUGUGAUCUCAUAAAGUAUCAAUAGCAUUCACACUGUACAUCCCCUUGUAAUAUUUUACAAUGAUUUUUAUUUAACUUUACAAUUAUUUUUAAAUGUUUCUUCAUAUAGAAAAUAUAUACUUUGUUUAGGAGGAUCGAAACAACAAAUUUUCACUAAGAAUAUACUGAAAAACAACAAAUGAAAAUAUUUAUACCAAAAUACCAAAAAUGAUUCAACUAUUAAAACUAUCCUGUUGGACUCUACUCAGCAGUUUGCACAAGGGUCCUUUUGUGUUGCUCUACUGAAUAAUGAUUAGACAAAUACAAAGAGUACUGGAUACUUGUACGAGGUAAAUGCAAGUAAGCUAUUUGCUAUCCCUCAUGUGAUAAAUUAUUGUCCUAAGGUGCAAAUCUCAUGACUCAGUGACCUAUACAC